CCUACGGGAGGCAGCAGUAGGGAAUCUUCGGCAAUGGGGGGCAACCCUGACCGAGCAACGCCGCGUGAGUGAAGAAGGUUUUCGGAUCGUAAAGCUCUGUUGUAAGUCAAGAACGAGUGUGAGAGUGGAAAGUUCACACUGUGACGGUAGCUUACCAGAAAGGGACGGCUAACUACGUGC
Molecule: ribosomal RNA, 180 nt
Filed under: uncultured bacterium
Lineage: Bacteria
Description: partial 16S ribosomal RNA
Rfam family: Bacterial small subunit ribosomal RNA
Source: RNAcentral